UUGUCUCAAAGAUUAAGCCAUGCAUGUCUCAGUACAAGCCGAAUUAAGGUGAAACCGCGAAAGGCUCAUUAAAUCAGUUAUGGUUCCUUAGAUCGUACCCACAUUUACUGGAUAACUGUGGUAAUUCUAGAGCUAAUACAUGCAAACAGAGCCCCAACCGGAAACGGAAGGGGCGCUUUUAUUAGAUCAAAACCAAUCGGUGUCGGUCUCCGUCAUCGUACAACUUGGUGACUCUGAAUAACUUUACGCUGAUCGCACGGUCUCGCACCGGCGACGCAUCUUUCAAAUGUCUGCCUUAUCAACUGUCGAUGGUAGGUUCUGCGCCUACCAUGGUUGUAACGGGUAACGGGGAAUCAGGGUUCGAUUCCGGAGAGGGAGCCUGAGAAACGGCUACCACAUCCAAGGAAGGCAGCAGGCGCGCAAAUUACCCACUCCCGGCACGGGGAGGUAGUGACGAAAAAUAACGAUACGGGACUCAUCCGAGGCCCCGUAAUCGGAAUGAGUACACUCUAAACCCUUUAACGAGGAUCAAUUGGAGGGCAAGUCUGGUGCCAGCAGCCGCGGUAAUUCCAGCUCCAAUAGCGUAUAUUAAAGUUGUUGCGGUUAAAAAGCUCGUAGUCGAAUCUGUGUCCCGCGCCGCCGGUUCAUCGUUCGCGGUGUUAACUGGCGUGCCGCGGGACGUCCUGCCGGUGGGCUUAGCUCGAGAGGGCGGCCCAACUCAAUCCCGCCGCGGUGCUCUUCAUUGAGUGUCGAGGUGGGCCGGCACGUUUACUUUGAACAAAUUAGAGUGCUUAAAGCAGGCUAAAACUUCGCCUGAAUACUGUGUGCAUGGAAUAAUGGAAUU
Molecule: ribosomal RNA, 844 nt
Filed under: Homotrysis sp. COL161
Lineage: Eukaryota; Metazoa; Arthropoda; Insecta; Coleoptera; Tenebrionidae
Description: SSU rRNA
Rfam family: Eukaryotic small subunit ribosomal RNA
Source: RNAcentral